UCUACGGAGAGUUUGAUUCUGGCUCAGAACGAACGCUGGCGGCGUGGAUAAGACAUGCAAGUCGAACGAGCUUAGUUCCGGAGCAAUUCGGGAUUGAGCGAGUGGCGAACGGGUGCGUAACACGUGAGUCAUCUGCCUGAAAGUGGGGGAUAGCUCGCCGAAAGGCGAAUUAAUACCGCAUGUGUCCCGAAGCAAUUCGGGGUAAAGCCGGGGCAACCUGGCGCUUUUAGAGGAACUCGCGGCCUAUCAGCUUGUUGGUGAGGUAACGGCUUACCAAGGCUUCGACGGGUAGCUGGUCUGAGAGGACGACCAGCCACACUGGAACUGAGACACGGUCCAGACACCUACGGGUGGCAGCAGUCGAGAAUUUUUCUCAAUGGGGGAAACCCUGAAGGAGCGACGCCGCGUGGAGGAUGAAG
Molecule: ribosomal RNA, 419 nt
Filed under: Verrucomicrobiota bacterium
Lineage: Bacteria; Pseudomonadati; Verrucomicrobiota
Description: bacterial SSU rRNA
Rfam family: Bacterial small subunit ribosomal RNA
Source: RNAcentral